GACGAACGCUGGCGGCGUGCUUAACACAUGCCAGUCGAACGGAAAGGCGCUUCUUUUGUGGGUUGCUCGGGUGGAGAGGGGGUGGGGAACAUGUGAGUAACCUGCCCUGGACUUUGGGAUAGGUUCAGGGAACGGGGGCUAAUAUCGUAUAGGAGCUCCUGCGUCAGUGGGGUGGUUGGACAGUGUCGGCUGUUGUGGCGGGGGUCGGAGCUGUUGAGGUGGUUGGUGGGGUAGUGGCUUACCAAGGCUUUGGCGGGUAGGCGGGCUCAGAGGGUGACCGGCCACACUGGGACUGGGACACGGCCCAGAAUCGUACGGGAGGCAGCAGUGGGGAAUAUUGCACAAUGGCGGGAAGCCUGAUGCAGCGACGCCGCGCGCGGGAUGACGGCCUUCCGGUUGUAAACCGCUUCCGCCUGUGACGAAGCGUGAGUGACGGUAACGGGUAAAGAAGCACCGGCUAACUACGUG
Molecule: ribosomal RNA, 468 nt
Filed under: uncultured bacterium
Lineage: Bacteria
Description: partial 16S ribosomal RNA
Rfam family: Bacterial small subunit ribosomal RNA
Source: RNAcentral